Molecule: unclassified non-coding RNA, 240 nt
Filed under: soil metagenome
Description: partial contains 5.8S ribosomal RNA, internal transcribed spacer 2, and large subunit ribosomal RNA
Source: RNAcentral
AACGCACGAGACCUGCGGACCUGCGGAGGGAUCAUUAUCGAGUUAGGGUCUUCACGGGCCUGACCUCCCAACCCUAUGUUUACCAAACCUAUGUUGCUUCGGCGGGCCCGUCUCACGACCGCCGGGGGACGGUAAGACGUCCUCUGGCCCGUGCCCGCCGGUGGCCAACCAUCCAAAUUCUGAUUCAAACAUGUUAACCUGUCUGAGUGUCAGUUUUUAAUUAAAGCAAAACUUUCAACA